RNAcentral lists this unclassified non-coding RNA (275 nucleotides) under uncultured fungus. RNAcentral's name for it is "sequence contains ITS1". The record is from RNAcentral. Lineage: Eukaryota; Fungi.
UUGUUUAUUUAAAAUAUAAACUCAGACAAAUUAAUAAAAUAAAAAGAGUUAAGUUUUGGUUCCUUUGGCAAAGACACAUCCAUUAAUUUUCAUAAUCGAUGGCUUCUUGAAUUUAAGUAUCCUUUCUCUCCUUUUAAAAGAAGAAAGAAAAAACACUUUUCACUCAAAAAACGCUUCACCAAAGUAUCAUAAAUUGGUAACACAAAGGGUGGGAGAUUCACUUCGAAAAGCAAAAAAUCUCGGUAAUGAUCCUUCCGCAGGUUCACCUACGGAAA